UCGAAGUACGACCAUUCACUGCAAAGGUAGAGUGAUUCAAAUUUCGAAAAAUCCGCCAUUUUGUUCUAUAUUUAGUAACACAAUGUCCGAUUUUUCGAACUUUGAACCAUUCUAUCUUUGCAGCGAAUGGUCGUAUUUCGA
Non-coding RNA from Paramuricea clavata, 141 nucleotides. The record is from the annotation of a GenBank genome assembly. NCBI's taxonomy places the organism in Eukaryota, Metazoa, Cnidaria, Anthozoa, Malacalcyonacea, Plexauridae.